UGCUAUUAGAUUAUCACAAAAUCUUGUAUACACUUAGCACACCCAAUUAUCCAAAUAGUAUCAAAUUUUUAGUUGUAGAUAUUACACCAAUUGCAUGAACUAGCCAAAAUUGCUUGCUUAUUAUAUUAUAUAAAAUCCAAAUUACCAAUACAAAUCCUGACUUUAAACAAUUUUUAAGUCCUCCAAAACCUUCCAAAAAAAAUCCUUAUG
Molecule: long non-coding RNA, 210 nt
Filed under: Physcomitrium patens
Lineage: Eukaryota; Viridiplantae; Streptophyta; Bryopsida; Funariales; Funariaceae
Description: long non-coding RNA (PPAT_LNC005426)
Source: RNAcentral